This 558-nucleotide ribosomal RNA is filed under the name uncultured prokaryote. RNAcentral describes it as "bacterial SSU rRNA". It matches the Rfam family "Bacterial small subunit ribosomal RNA", at positions 788 to 1335 of the family's 1533-position model. The record is from RNAcentral.
GGGUAGUCCCAGCUGUAAACGUUGGGCGCUAGGUGUGGGGAGUGUCGACCCUCCCCGUGCCGAAGCUAACGCGUUAAGCGCCCCGCCUGGGGAGUACGGCCGCAAGGCUUAAACCCAAGGUAAUUGACGGGGGCCCGCACAAGCGGUGGAGCAUGUGGCUUAAUUCGAUGCAACGCGAAGAACCUUACCAGGGCUUGACAUGCCCGUGGUAGGGGCCCGAAAGGGCUUCCGACCCCCGUAAGGGGGAGCGGGCACAGGUGCUGCAUGGCUGUCGUCAGCUCGUGCCGUGAGGUGUUGGGUUAAGUCCCGCAACGAGCGCAACCCUCGCCCCUAGUUGCCAUCGGUUCGGCCGGGCACUCUAGGGGGACUGCCGGCGAUAAGCCGGAGGAAGGAGGGGACGACGUCAAGUCCGCAUGGCCCUUAUGCCCUGGGAUGCACACGUGCUACAAUGGCCGGUACAGCGGGUUGCGAACCCGUGAGGGGGGAGCCAAUCCCCUAAAAAGCCGGCCUCAGUACGGGAUCGGAGGCUGCAACUCGCCUCCGUGAAGCCGGAAUCGC